Molecule: long non-coding RNA, 287 nt
Filed under: Mytilus galloprovincialis (Mediterranean mussel)
Lineage: Eukaryota; Metazoa; Mollusca; Bivalvia; Mytilida; Mytilidae
Source: RNAcentral
UUCAAACAAAAUUUUAAAGUUUUCUCAAAAUUCUCGAAAUUGAAUGUAAUUCAUAAUUUAUUUAUUUGAUGUAAAAGUUUCCCAUCAAUCUUAUAUUUGACAUCUCAUAAACGGUCCCAUCACAGCGGCACUUCUGUAUAAAGGAACUGAAGUGAUCCCCUUUCCUAGCAUUUCUAAAAAAACGGCCCCAUCACAGCGGCACUUCGGAAUACAGGAACUGAAGUGAUCCUAUUAACGCGUCGCAGGGGACAUCAUCGAAAUUCCUGGUGUCCGUCCAUCCGGUCUUG